This is a long non-coding RNA of Eriocheir sinensis (Chinese mitten crab), 3008 nucleotides long. RefSeq lists it as uncharacterized. The transcript is spliced from 2 exons. NCBI's taxonomy places the organism in Eukaryota, Metazoa, Arthropoda, Malacostraca, Decapoda, Varunidae. The record is from RefSeq and is a predicted model, not a curated record.
CUCCCCCAUCUAGCACGUAACCUAAUGGGAAAUCGACUCGGAAUUGAUUCAGUUUUAUCACCCAGGUAAUUGGUCUGUCUGUUGCAGCGGGACACACCUGGGCGCCGCGCCGGGCUGCCGUUUUGGCCCCGGCGCGCGUAAGUCUGGUGUGAGGGUUGGCAGGCUGGACAGACGUGAGAGAGGAGAGGAGAGGAGAGGUGGAAUGGAAAGUAGUACGUUAGACCUGUUUCAGACGUAUCGACCUUUCUCCGUGCAUUCCACCAUGACCGCCGCCCCUACCCGCCAGCCUCCAUUCUCAUAAUGUAAACUUUUGACAGUCUGGCACAAAUCUCUGCUUUCAAAACUAUCCUCCUACGGAUUUUUUUCCUUCUGUCUGUACUUUUAUAUCAAAUUUCAUUUCCGGCCGACCUAUCUGUGCUGUGGUACGCAGACACUGUUCUUCCCCUAUAAACCUAUCAACAGUCUGCUCUAUCUCCCACCCUCUUUCUGUUAUUCAUCAAUGAUUUUUUUUCCAAAACAAACAGUCCAUUCCACUCCUAUGCCGAUGACUCUACUCUGCAUUACCCAACAUGUGUUAACAAAAGACCAACAUAAAUUACAGGACGUUUGGCUGGGUGGGACUUAACCUCAGACCUUGCUAUCAUCUCUGGAUGGGGCAGGAAAAAUUUAGUCUUUCAAUGCCUCAAAAAGUCAGUUUCUUCACCUGCUAACUCGACACAGCCUUCCAAACACCUAUCCCCAAUUCUUCGACAACACUCAUCUGUUACUACCUUCUAACACAAUAUAUACAUUCUCGGUCUGUUCUUAACUCAAAAUCUUAACUGGAAACUUCAUAUCUCUCGCGAAAUCAGUCAUAAGAAAGUAGAGAUGAUUGGCCGAGAGUUUCCAUCUAUCCACACUUCCCGUCGCUUCUUGCAGUGUGGCGACAGGAAGUUCUAUGACGUGGGUUGAAUGAACGCUGGUUAAUAUCUCCAACUUUUUAUUCGUUUCAUCAUCUCAGAGAAUAAUAUAAAGUUACAGAAUACGAGAUCGGUAAUUCGUUUGCAAGAUAUGUGCGUAUAAAAUAUAAAGCUUUCUCUAUAGGGUUCAAUAAGGUGUGGAGAGAGAGAGAGAGAGAGAGAGAGAGAGAGAGAGAGAGAGAGAGAGAGAGAGAGAGAGAGAGAGAGAGAGAGAGAGAGAGAGAGAGAGAGAGAGAGAGAGAGAGAGAGAGAGAGAGAGAGACUGACUUCCCUGACCACAUUAAUGCAAACUCAAACAUUAAUCAUUUCAGCCAGUGAGGUCAGAGAGGGAACAAUAUUAGGCCAUGUGGGGCAUUUUUACACGGAUCGCUAUUUUACUUCGUCUUCAGGAAGUGUUCUAGACUCUACAAGCAUACAAAUAUAUAAAAAUAGUCGUAGCAUAUUAUGUACAGCGCUUGAAGUAAAUAUAUUGAGCGACUUCGAAUCUAUACAAUUUCGUUUCGUGAAAGUGAAACCACAACAGCUGACUUAUCUAUUGUUUAAGAGAGACCAAGGGCUGAACCAAACACAUAUAUGAUUAGAUACCCCCAAAAAUGCUGCUCCUGACGUGAGAAUAGUUAGGAAAAGUGAUAAUCAAAUGUAGCGCCAGGGAUGUCUUGUUAGGAGAGGCAAUAUAAGUAAAGCUCUUCCACGGCUUACAAGUGAAAAGGGAUGAGAAGGUAAAGAUACUGACUAGUUCAUUUGUUAGUUACUAGUAAAAGGGAUGAGAAGGGAAAGAUAUCGGCUAGUUCAUGUAUUAUAGCAACUAGCAAAAGGGGUGAGGAGAUGAAGAUAUUGGCUCGUUCAUGUAUUAUAGCAACUAGCGAAAGGGGUGAGGAGAUGAAGAUAUUGGCUAGUUAAUGUGCUAUAAUUACUAGUGAAAGGGAUGAUAAGGUAAAGAUAUUGGUUAUAGUGACUGGAUAGCAUAAUUGAUAUAGUGUUAUUGGUGUUAUUACUAUUUUCAUUUUCGCUGAGUUUGUUAUAUUGGUUCGGCUUUGUUACUGUUACCAUCUGUUGUAGUUUCAUUUUCACGCACAAAUAAGUUUAACGAACAUCUAUUGACUUGAGUUGCUUGGUGUCUCAUCCUCUAACUGGCUGAGGCACACUGCAACAACAACCUGGGAAUCUUGUCCCUGCUGAUAUCAAGGAACACAAGAAGCACGGAGGAACACGAGAAGCGAUAGAAGUGAAUGAACUGAAGAGACGCGAAGAAGCGCGAUGAUAAAAGAAGCAUAAAAAGCGCAGGAGGGAAGCUUUUGAACAGGACAACAAAACAAAGAAAUAUGGAUGUUUUCACUCCCUUUUGACGUUCGUAACCUUGAUAGGAAGAGGAGAAUACAAUGAACAAGGGACGCAAAGGGAAAUGAAGAUAAAAGAAGCAUAAGAAGCGCAGGAGGAAAUUUUUUGAACAGGUAAACAAAAAAAUAUUGAAAUAAGGACGUUUUUUCACUCCCGUUUUACGUCUAUAAGCUUGAUAUGAAAACACACACACACACACACACACACACACACACACACACACACACACAUCAUGCCCACUAAAAUCAUCAUCACUACUGCAAACAGAGCAACUUAUAAAGAAAAUGAGAAAAGAUUUGACACUACGAAGAUUCCCAUUCAAAAAUAUAUUCCCCCAAACAAUAACUAUAUAGUACAUCAGCAGAGCAACUUAGAGAGAACAGGAAGGGAGGUUUUACACUAUACGCAGAACACCAUUCAGCAAGAUUACAUUACUGACGUGCUGAGAAAGGUUUAUAGAAGACAAGCAAAACAAAUUUAAUGAAGAGUGAAAGGUUAAAGAGAACGAGCAAAACAAAUUAAGAAUGAAAGAUUGAAGAGAACGAGAAAAACAAAUGAAGAAUGAGAAGUUGAAGAAGACGAAAAAAACAAUGAGGGUUGAAAGUUUGAAGAGAACGAGAAAAACAAAUGAAGAAUGAAAAAUUGAAGAGAACGAGCAAAACAAAUGAAGGAUGAUGAAAGAUUGAAGAGAACGAGCAAAACAUAUGAAGG